RNAcentral lists this signal recognition particle RNA (282 nucleotides) under Vombatus ursinus (common wombat). Its description in RNAcentral is "Metazoan signal recognition particle RNA (ENSVURG00010024577.1)". It matches the Rfam family "Metazoan signal recognition particle RNA". From Rfam's summary of the family: The signal recognition particle (SRP) is a universally conserved ribonucleoprotein. It is involved in the co-translational targeting of proteins to membranes. Lineage: Eukaryota; Metazoa; Chordata; Mammalia; Diprotodontia; Vombatidae. The record is from Rfam by way of RNAcentral.
GUCAGAUGUGGUGGUCUACAACUGGAACCCUAGCUACCAGGGAGAUUGAGGUUGGUGAAUAUCUUGCAUGUAGGAGUUUUGAGUUAUAGUGCUAUAUUCUGAUCAGUUGUGUGUAUUAAAUUUGGCAUGAAUAUAAUGGGCAUCAUGGUGCCUAAAGAGGGGUGAAUUGGCCGAAGUUAGAAAAAGAGCAGGUCAAAGCUCCCCAUUAAUGAGUAGUGGGACCAAACCCGUGAAUAUCUCUCAUAAUUCCAGCCUAGAUUAAAUAGGGGGAAACAGUCUUUG